GGAGGGAUCAUUAAGGCUUACCGUUGAAAGUAUCGGGUGCUGGGGGCUCUCUCGUAGAGUCCUCGGCUCAUUUGUGCGUGGGUUGAAGUCGUAUGCGUUGUUUGCCCAUAAAGUCCCGAUUGACCUCGAAGAGACCUGCGCAGCUCUGCUGCAAAGGUUCGAUUGUAUUACGUUUAUGACCCUUAACGAUGGAUGUCUCGGGUUUGAGAUCGUUGAAGAGCGCAGCAAAGCGCGAUAGUCGAUGUGAUUUGCAGAACAUGUGAUGCAUUAGACUCUUGAACGCAUGUGCGCCUGCUAUGCCUCGUAUAGCAGGCAUGCCUGGUUGAGUGCCAACCACCCUUCCACUCGCCCCCACACGGGGGAGCAACGAGUGGCUGAUGGGAGAGCCUUACGAGGCCCUCUUUAAGUCCAAGAUACGUGGAAGACUUGCGUGCUAGCUGAAGGUUGUCUCGAUGGAUUGUCUCGAUGGAUUGUCUCGAUGGAUUGUCUCGAUGAUCGCGACGGUUUGGCUCGAUGGUUUGUCUCGAUGGAUUGUCUCGAUGGAUUGUCUCGAUGGUUUGUCUCGAUGGAUUGUCUCGAGUCGCGAUGGAUUGUCUCGAUGGAUUGUCUCGAUGGAUUGUCUCGAUGGAUUGUCUCGAUAAAACAGCACAAGCAGCAGGUUGACUCGCAUCACGCUACGAGCGUGCCUGUUUCCCUGGAUUGAUACGAAGGAUUGACUCGAAGGAUUGGCCAACUCGCUUAGGAAACAGCCAUGUUAGUACGCGAACCUUUUUUGGCCUCAGUUCAGGCAGGACCAUCCGCUUAACUUAAGCAUAUUAUUCAGCGGAAGAAAAGAAAACAACCGUUAUUUCCCUAGUAACUGCGAGUGAAUAGGAAGGAGACCAAGGUGAAUCGGCGAGGCUAGCUCCUCUGUCGAGUUGUACCCUGAGGAUCAGCGUCGGUGCCCGUUCGUUCCCCAAGUUAGCUGGAAAGCUACGCCUAAGAAGGUGACAGCCCUGUGGGGGAGCGAAGGUAUCGGGUAUCAUCAGCUGCAUCUACGAGUCGUACUGUUUGAGAGUAUAGUACAAAUCAGCAGGUAAGCCCCUGCUAAGCCUAAAUAUGGCUCAAACACCGAUAGCGAACAAGUACCACGAGGGAAAGAUGCAAAGAACUCUGAAAAGAGAGUUAAAAGUACCUGAAAUCGUUGAGGGGGAACCGGUGGUGACGCUCGAGUUGGGGGAUCGAAUCACUGUUCUGCUGGUGAGGCUAGGUUGUCCACGAGUGCUUACGGGCACUUGUUCGGGUGGCUGAACCGAGCCAGUGGGGCAGGCACUUUGGUCUCUCGCAUCCAUUGUCCCUGCGCGCUGGGACUGUUAGGCUAGAACGACGCUGUGGUUCGCUGCAGGUUUAAGUCUGGCUGAAACGACCCGGCGUUCUGGGAGGGCAAAGAGGCUGCCCUGCGUAGUGUGCGUCUGCUGGCUGGUUGCUGCAGGUGUACAUCCUAGAUGUGUGCUUGCAGUAGCUGGCGUGUGUGGGCGCUGCUGCUAGCCUCUGCUGAUAAUGGGGAGAUCAUCACCGACCCGUCUUGAAACACGGACCAAGGAGUCUAACAUGUGUGCGAGUCUAAGGGUGGCAAACCCGAAGGCACAGCGAAAGCGAGAGUAGCGAGAUGCUGUUGGUUACGAUCGAUGGUUGCAUCGCAGGCCCAGCCUGGGGUUCGUCCUCGGGCUUGGAGUCGGAGCAUGCCUGUUAGGACCCGAAAGAUUGCGAACUUUGCUUGCAUAGGGUGAAGCCAGACGAAAGUCUGGUGGAGGCUCGUAGUCGUACUGACGUGAAAAUCGUUGAUCAAAUGUGAGUAAAGCGGCGAAAGACCAAUCGAGCAGUCUAGUAGCUGGUUCCUGC
RNAcentral lists this unclassified non-coding RNA (1881 nucleotides) under uncultured fungus. Its description in RNAcentral is "sequence contains 18S rRNA gene, ITS1, 5.8S rRNA gene, ITS2, 28S rRNA gene". The stretch from base 774 to 1881 matches the Rfam family "Eukaryotic large subunit ribosomal RNA", at positions 1 to 961 of the family's 3401-position model. The record is from RNAcentral. Lineage: Eukaryota; Fungi.